CCUACGGGGGGCUGCAGUAACGAAUCUUCCGCAAUGCUCGAAAGAGUGACGGAGCGACGCCGCGUGUGGGACGAAGCCCUUCGGGGUGUAAACCACUGUCAGGGGACAGAAAGAUCUGAUCGUCCCCAGAGGAAGGCACGGCUAACUCUGUGCCAGCAGCCGCGGUAAGACAGAGGUGCCAAGCGUUAGGCGGAAUCACUGGGCUUAAAGCGUGUGUAGGCGGAUGCCUAAGUACCUUGUGAAAUCCCCCGGCUCAACCGGGGAACUGCUGGGUAUACUGGGUGUCUUGGGUCAUCUAGGGGCUGCCGGAACAAAUGGUGGAGCGGUGAAAUGCGUAGAUAUCAUUUGGAACGCCAACGGCGAAAGCAGGCAGCUGGGGAUGCACCGACGCUGAGACACGAAAGCCAGGGGAGCGAACGGGAUUAGAUACCCUAGUAGUC
RNAcentral lists this ribosomal RNA (440 nucleotides) under uncultured Planctomycetales bacterium. RNAcentral describes it as "bacterial SSU rRNA". It matches the Rfam family "Bacterial small subunit ribosomal RNA", at positions 338 to 795 of the family's 1533-position model. The record is from RNAcentral. Lineage: Bacteria; Pseudomonadati; Planctomycetota; Planctomycetia; Planctomycetales.